RNAcentral lists this ribosomal RNA (250 nucleotides) under uncultured prokaryote. RNAcentral describes it as "partial 16S ribosomal RNA". It matches the Rfam family "Bacterial small subunit ribosomal RNA", at positions 524 to 774 of the family's 1533-position model. The record is from RNAcentral.
UACGGAGACUGCGAGCGUUACUCGGAAUUACUGGGCGUAAAGGGUGCGCAGGCGGUUGUGUGUGUCGAGUCUGGAAGUCGGUGACUUAAUCAUCGUGAGGACUCGAAACUGCACGACUUGAGUAUCGGAGGGGUAAGCGGAAUUCCGUGAGUAGCAGUGAAAUGCGUAGAUAUACGGAAGAACACCAAAGGCGAAGGCAGCUUACUUGACGAAUACUGACGCUCAGGCACGAAAGCGUGGGGAGCGAAAA